GAUAGGAUGCCAGAUGAAUAUGGAUUAGACUUAGGUUCUAGAUAUGAAUUAUUUUAUUCUCCUAUUU
Molecule: transfer RNA, 67 nt
Filed under: Schistosoma indicum
Lineage: Eukaryota; Metazoa; Platyhelminthes; Trematoda; Strigeidida; Schistosomatidae
Description: tRNA-Leu
Source: RNAcentral